This 164-nucleotide ribosomal RNA is filed under the name Ichnanthus robustus. RNAcentral's name for it is "5.8S ribosomal RNA". It matches the Rfam family "5.8S ribosomal RNA". From Rfam's summary of the family: 5.8S ribosomal RNA (5.8S rRNA) is a component of the large subunit of the eukaryotic ribosome. It is transcribed by RNA polymerase I as part of the 45S precursor that also contains 18S and 28S rRNA. Lineage: Eukaryota; Viridiplantae; Streptophyta; Magnoliopsida; Poales; Poaceae. The record is from RNAcentral.
AAAACGACUCUCGGCAACGGAUAUCUCGGCUCUCGCAUCGAUGAAGAACGUAGCAAAAUGCGAUACCUGGUGUGAAUUGCAGAAUCCCGCGAACCAUCGAGUUUUUGAACGCAAGUUGCGCCCGAGGCCUUCUGGCUGAGGGCACGCCUGCCUGGGCGUCACGC